UACAGAGGUCUCAAGCGUUGUUCGGAAUCAUUGGGCGUAAAGCGCGUGUAGGCGGUUUCGUAAGUCUGCUGUGAAAGUCGGAGGCUCAACCUUCGAAAGCCGGUGGAUACUGUGAGACUUGAGUACGGAAGAGGAGAGUGGAAUUCCUGGUGUAGCGGUGGAAUGCGCAGAUAUCAGGAGGAACACCAAUAGCGAAGGCAGCUCGCUGGGACGUUACUGACACUGAGGCGCGAAAGCGUGGGGAGCGAACAGG
RNAcentral lists this ribosomal RNA (253 nucleotides) under uncultured bacterium. RNAcentral describes it as "partial 16S ribosomal RNA". It matches the Rfam family "Bacterial small subunit ribosomal RNA", at positions 524 to 776 of the family's 1533-position model. The record is from RNAcentral.